RNAcentral lists this ribosomal RNA (1980 nucleotides) under Triticum aestivum (bread wheat). Its description in RNAcentral is "partial small subunit ribosomal RNA". Lineage: Eukaryota; Viridiplantae; Streptophyta; Magnoliopsida; Poales; Poaceae. The record is from RNAcentral.
UACAACAAACAUGUGGACGUGUGCCUUAAAAAUCCCAAAACCCUCAACAAAGUACAACAAACGUGUAGGUAAAAGACGUCCUGACCGCUGAGCGCUCCCAAACGGAAGCACUCCAUGUUCAUACUCCUGCUCCGCGUCUUCCGUCAACUAGCGGACCUGCCCUCCAACCACCUGCCCUCCCUCUACUACCACGUCAAACGGUUCAUGCCCGGUUUACGACUCGCCUAAGUCUUUCCCGCUUAGUACCUUUGCCAGGGCUUCGGUUCCCCAGCAAGGUCUUCGGCGUCAGGUUCUGCCCCCAUGGCACUACUAGUAGCCCCGUCUCUAAGAUCUUCCGCUUCAGCCUCAGCCUCACCUCUAUCUAUACCUGCACUGUCCAUGUCUCUCUCCCUGGUAGUAGCAGCAUCGUCCUCAGCAUCGUGAUCAGGACUACUAAUGUUCUCCGCACCGUCUCUGUCUUCAGGAUCAGCAUCGUCCUCGGCGUCGAUGUCAGGACUACUACUGUCCUUCCCACCGUCUCUGUCAAACAGCGGGCGUGCGUCUUCGUGAUCAGCGAGGGGAGCGUUCUGUGGUGGAGGAGCGUUCUGUGGUGGAGGAACGCUCCCCAGAGGACGAUUCGCGUUACUACUGGCAAGAGGACAAUCCGCGUUACUACUGGCAAGAGGACAAUCCGCGUUACUACUGGCCAGAGGUCCGAGAGCAUCGGGAAGUUGUACUCGACUUACAGUUUGUUGACUCCUAGUUACCUUGUCUCGACGAGUAUAACCUCCGACAAGUCAACGAAAUAGUACUUGUUAGACGUCAAUGUUAACGUUUAAUUUUUACAACACCACGAACUGUAGCCACUGAUGAAGUCCGAUGUCUACGACGAAACACCUACAGACCUAUGAACAAUCUUGAUAUAAAUGUACUACACCACUUCUCCACGACCAACUAUUUCCGACUUGUGUGUUCAACGAACGACAACGGCAACUAUAACAAACACGACAUAGGGAAUUACUACUACUACGACCACUACCUCUACUACUACCACUACGACCACCCCCAACUACUACCACCACUAGUAAAACGACGCACGUGAGAACAAUACGACUGUUCAUUCCAAGUUUACUAGGUCGACUCCAAGUGACGAAUUCGACAAGUAGUUAUUAUUUCAUAAUUUGUUGAGACCAGGUACAAUGACGUACGAUCCUAAACUUUUUUAACCAAAGAAUCAACUCAGAGACGAGUACUAAAUACAAUACGUUGGUGUUGUAUAGAAAUGUUUUCACACCAUCGUUGUCUGUAAACCCACAAGAAACAACAAACAAGACCGGAUUUAUUUAAGACUAUACUACUAUCUCAGAACUUUCUAUUCACCUUGAAUUUUCAAUCAUGUCAUGGAAAGAUAUGGUAAAUCUUCAGAUAAUACAUUUCUGAUGUAUCGUUACGUUUAUGAGAAUUACACGACUGGUUCAGUUAAAAAUCAUAGAAUCCUAAAACACACCAAAUAUCUCAAGUCUUACAAACCGUCAACUACAAGGUUCAAAUGUCAGUGACAUUCGUACACCAUCGUAGAACUGAACAUUGGUCAAACACUCUGAAGAAAAGAAGUAUAAUACUGAGAAUAUGCCGAAAAAAAAUUUUUUGAAAUGUUGAGAAUUGUAGGAAAGCGUUAUCUUCCACACCAUCCACAAAAGUUAACGUCUGACUUAAUACAGUCGAGGUUCCGGACGACGGGACAUCUACAUAGUACGCUUACGACUGAAUCCUAGUACACCACUACCGCCGGGAUACCUUUCUUGGAUGCGAGGUACUAACUACAUAUAUAAAGGCUUCACAUUACAUACCAUUGAAACAUCACUACAAGUAAACCAUGUGUUAACUUUUAAGGAACUUUUCUUGAACGCGACUAAACCAAACUAACAUGGUACCCGAUGAAACGAGUAACUGCUCACGAACAACGAACAAACCUAUAGAUUAAGCUUCAUAAAUGGACCG